RNAcentral lists this ribosomal RNA (460 nucleotides) under Salmonella enterica subsp. enterica serovar Montevideo. Its description in RNAcentral is "bacterial SSU rRNA". It matches the Rfam family "Bacterial small subunit ribosomal RNA", at positions 338 to 795 of the family's 1533-position model. Lineage: Bacteria; Pseudomonadati; Pseudomonadota; Gammaproteobacteria; Enterobacterales; Enterobacteriaceae. The record is from RNAcentral.
CCUACGGGCGGCAGCAGUGAGGAAUAUUGGUCAAUGGGCGAGAGCCUGAACCAGCCAAGUAGCGUGCAGGAUGACGGCCCUAUGGGUUGUAAACUGCUUUUAUACGGGGGUAAAGUCAUCCACGUGUGGAUGUUUGCAAGUACCGUAAGAAAAAGGAUCGGCUAAUUCCGUGCCAGCAGCCGCGGUAAUACGGAAGAUCCGAGCGUUAUCCGGAUUUAUUGGGUUUAAAGGGAGCGUAGGCGGACGAGCAAGUCAGUUGUGAAAGUUUGCGGCUCAACCGUAAAAUUGCAGUUGAAACUGUUUGUCUUGAGUUCACAUAAGGAUGGUGGAAUUUGUGGUGUAGCGGUGAAAUGCAUAGAUAUCACGAAGAACUCCGAUUGCGAAGGCAGCUGACAAGGCUACAACUGACGCUAAAGCUCGAAAGUGCGGGUAUCGAACAGGAUUAGAUACCCCGGUAGUC